This 345-nucleotide long non-coding RNA is filed under the name Mustela putorius furo (domestic ferret). RNAcentral's name for it is "lncRNA (ENSMPUG00000028910.1)". The record is from RNAcentral. Lineage: Eukaryota; Metazoa; Chordata; Mammalia; Carnivora; Mustelidae.
CACUGAUCAGGAGUGAUUGUCACCUUUCCAGAGGAUGACAAUGGCUGGGGGCUCCUUGGGCGGGAGCUGAUAAACUUGGGGAGGAUACUUGCCCUGGAAACCGAACCACCAUGUUGUGCAGAAGCUCAAACCAUUUGGAGAAGUCCUAUCAGGUUCUCCAGCCAAUUGUCCCAGCUAAGGACACUGCCAACAGCCAGCAUCAACCACCAACCAUGUGAGUAGACAAGACUUUAGAUGGUUCUGGUUGUCAUCUUUGGAGUUUUCCAGCUGAGGCCCCAGACAUGAUGCAUAAGAGACAAACCAUCCCCUUCUGCCCUGUCCCAAUUCAUGAACCCAACCCCAAAU